This is a long non-coding RNA of Mustela erminea (ermine), 528 nucleotides long. RefSeq lists it as uncharacterized. Lineage: Eukaryota; Metazoa; Chordata; Mammalia; Carnivora; Mustelidae. The record is from RefSeq and is a predicted model, not a curated record. The transcript is spliced from 3 exons.
ACAUGAGGAGCAAUUUUGCUCAAAUAGAUUAUGGCAGGGAAGGCACAAUGUCAGAGCCGUCGGGUGUGGCAGAAGAUUCCAGAUAAUGUGGCUCCUGAUUGUUGCACAAGGAGCAUGUCCCUGAGUCGCUCACUGUGGUGGAAGCUUCCGGAUAGUGUCAUUUCCUGCUUGUUGCUGGAGGCUGCAGCUUCUCUGCCAGCUCAGUUCUGCAGUGUGGCUGUGGUACACAGACUUCUAAUUUAUCCCAUUUAUCUUUUCUUUCGUGGAGCUACUGGCCUUACACCUGACCUGACUUCUCCAAGCUCUGGAAAGAAGGGCCAAGAAGCCAUGGGAGGCCACAUGCUAAGUCACGUGGCUGACUCAACAAGUAGAAGAGUAGCAGUCUUCAGAGUCAUUGCCCAGAAAAUUAAGCAAUAAUUCAUUUUGGAACUAGCUUAUUCCUUCAAACAUUACGAUAUUGUCCUCAAACAAAUAAACAGAGCAAGAUGUGUUCCCCAAGAUAUCAUGUUACCUGAGUUUUUUGACUCC